Molecule: ribosomal RNA, 156 nt
Filed under: Halomonas sp.
Lineage: Bacteria; Pseudomonadati; Pseudomonadota; Gammaproteobacteria; Oceanospirillales; Halomonadaceae
Description: partial 16S ribosomal RNA
Rfam family: Bacterial small subunit ribosomal RNA
Source: RNAcentral
UACCAUGCAAGUCGAGCGGAAACGAUCCUAGCUUGCUAGGAGGCGUCGAGCGGCGGACGGGUGAGUAAUGCAUAGGAAUCUGCCCGGUAGUGGGGGAUAACCUGGGGAAACUCAGGCUAAUACCGCAUACGUCCUACGGGAGAAAGCAGGGGAUCU